RNAcentral lists this transfer RNA (75 nucleotides) under Alphaproteobacteria bacterium. RNAcentral describes it as "tRNA-Thr". It matches the Rfam family "tRNA". Rfam says of the family: Transfer RNA (tRNA) molecules are approximately 80 nucleotides in length. Their secondary structure includes four short double-helical elements and three loops (D, anti-codon, and T loops). Further hydrogen bonds mediate the characteristic L-shaped molecular structure. tRNAs have two regions of fundamental functional importance: the anti-codon, which is responsible for specific mRNA codon recognition, and the 3' end, to which the tRNAs corresponding amino acid is attached (by aminoacyl-tRNA synthetases). tRNAs cope with the degeneracy of the genetic code in two manners: having more than one tRNA (with a specific anti-codon) for a particular amino acid; and 'wobble' base-pairing, i.e. permitting non-standard base-pairing at the 3rd anti-codon position. Lineage: Bacteria; Pseudomonadati; Pseudomonadota; Alphaproteobacteria. The record is from RNAcentral.
GCCCACAUAGCUCAGUGGUAGAGCACCCCCUUGGUAAGGGGGAGGUCGGUGGUUCAAUCCCACCUGUGGGCACCA